This is a long non-coding RNA of Zingiber officinale, 1640 nucleotides long. RefSeq lists it as uncharacterized. The record is from RefSeq and is a predicted model, not a curated record. NCBI's taxonomy places the organism in Eukaryota, Viridiplantae, Streptophyta, Magnoliopsida, Zingiberales, Zingiberaceae. The transcript is spliced from 2 exons.
UUUCACCUGCCUAACUUCACUCACUAGGUCUUUCACCUGGUUUCACUCACCAAGAUUUCCCAAUUGCUUAGUUUCACUCAUUAGGUUUUUCACCUGCCUAAUCUCCAGUUAGGACUAUCCUAGUUAAGUAUCCGGCCAAACCUUUGACCUACUUGACUUUCUUCACAUCUAACUGAUCAGUUCUAGAUCAGAGGGGAAUUGUAUCAACAAUCUCCCUAAUAGGUUGAUUGCUCCUACAAUCUCCAUAUAUUAUCAAACAUCGAAAUCCAAACAUCGAAACUCAAACUUGAGCCAACUCGAACUUAGUCAACCUGGUCAACCUUGACUCAGGCGAUAUUGCACCAUUAGUAUGUACCUCCUCUUCCUCGACCUCUGCCUCUUCCUCAUCCUCUAUCACUUCUACCAUUUGUAGAGUGAUUUUCUGAUAAAACCUUCAAUAUUUGCUCCUCUUUUUCAUAUUGAUUAAUUUUAUGCUCAUAAACUAAUAAUGAAAUUUGUAAUUCAUCAAUUGAAAAUAGACUUAUAUCAUUUGCUUCUUCAGUGGCAUAGACAAUAAAAUUAAAUUUUGGUGUCAUAGAUCGAAAACUUUUUUCGAUGAUGAGAACAUCCUCUAUCUUGUCGCCAAGGUCCGUAUUUUGUUGAUGAUUGUCAUCGUUCUUGAAAAAUAAUCUAAAAUUGAUUUUCCUGAUUUCAUUCGGUUUAUUUCGAACUCUGAAAGAAGUGAUUGAAACUACUGCAUCUUAGCUCUUGUCGUACCUUAGUACUUCUUUUUCAUAAAAUCCCAGAUAUCUUUGGCAGUAUCCUUGCAGAGAAUGGUUUCCAAGAUUGAGCGAUCAAUAGUUUGGAAGAGAUAAUUCUUUGCUUUAAGAACUUUCAAUUGCGCAACUAUUAGCGCAACACCUUCUAUCGGUUCUGUUACUCCAAAAAUCACGACCGUUUAAUAUUCUUUGGAUCUUAAAAAAAUUCUCCAUGAGCAUACUCCAAUGGUCAUAGUGGCCAUCAAAUCGAGGAAUGAUAGGUUGUACAAAACUUUCGGAAGACAUAACCUCUUUGAGACCUCGCUCUGAUACCACCGAUAAAAAAAAUAGAUGAGUCGAGAACACAAGGAGGAUAAAAUAAUAAGUUUUUUACAUAUCUUCAUUGAUCAUUACAUAUCCUAUUUAUAGGUUAAUACAUCACACAUAUUAAAAAAACUCACUAACUCUACUAACACCACAACAUUAACUACUAACACCACAUUACAACCAUUAUCCUCUACCUCUAACUCAACUUGCCAAUUCAUUAACCCACUAACAUCACAUUACAACUAUUACCCUAUUAUUUCUUUCCACUAACUCAAUUAAAAUAUGCCCACUAACACAUUAAUUUUAUCAACUAACACAUUAAUUUUAUCAAUAAUGGUUAGCUCUCAGUUGUUUAUUCAGGCCUGCCAAACUGUUGAUCUAAUUCAAUGCAUAUGUUUUAGGCCUUGGAAAGCUGCCUGCUCGGGGAGAAAGUGAGGAAGAAAGAACUAAAGCUCGACUCGGAAGGUUUAGGUGGAUAAAGCAACUGCGGCUUGGAUGCCAAAAGAUGGACAAAGCCCACAAGUCGGUCAAGAAAUUUCAAGCCAUUCCAAUUGCACACCUUCGACAAAAAUAAUU